UUUGCCUGAGUUUUUUUAUGAUUUUUUCCCUGGUGUUACAGAUUUGGAAGAAUAGCAGAAAUGCAAAAUGUUUCUCACUACAUCUUAUCAGGAGACGUCUGAUAUCAACCCAAUUAUCAUUGGUGAUGUUAACCUUGACCACUUGACUGAGUUGUAUAUGCCAGGUUCUCCACUGUAAAAUUACCUUUUUUUUUUUUUUUCUCCUUUCCACUCUCCAUUCAUUAGAGGUGAAUCACUAAAGCUGGUCACCAUUCCAGGGAUAGGGAAUUAAGCUCUACUUCCUGAAGGGAGAAGUAUCAAAACAUUUGUGGACCUACAUUAAAAUCACUAUAUAGUUAAUGCACAUCUGUGGGGAGAUACUUGGAGGCAAUGUGUACAUCCUGUUUCUCUAAAAAGUUUCACCCACUGAUUUUAGCUUUCAGAGGGGUCUUGCCUGCUGCAACUGUUAGUGUGGCAUAGCUCUUUAUUUCUCUCAUUCUUUCUAUAUUGAUUAUUGAAGUUCUUAGAGGAAAGCCCACCCCUUCUCCUCCACGUAUGUAUUUAUCCAAUCAUUUAUUUAUAUCAGUACAGACUUAGGGCUAUUUACUUUGUUCUCUGUCAUAUAACCUGUAGUGUGCCUUUAUCCGUGGUUUUACCUUCUGAUUUCAGUUACCCGCAGUCAACCAGGGUCUGGAAACAGAUGAUUCUCCUUCUGACAUAAGGUCAGAAGGUCAAUAGUAGCCUAACGCUCUGUCACGGUGCCUACGUCAUUCACGUCACUUCACCUCAUCACGCAGGCAUUUUAUCAUCUCACAUCGUCACAAGAAGAAAGACAUCCACUGGGGAUCUUGUAUAACCCUUCCAUUGGAUAAUGGAAGGAUGAUUGCACUACCACUGUUUCAUUGUUCACAUCGUUCUAGCUUUUGCUAUGGUGCUAUGGGCAACUCUUUAAGAUGAAGAAGAGAUUCUGCCUCAAGAUGGCAGCAUCAAUUCCCGCCUGAGUUUCCAGACUGCUGGCCCACCCUACAGGUCUCAGACUUGGGAGUCCCGUGAUCACGUGAGCUAUGUACAAUCACAUACACCUGUGUGUAUGCCUGUGUAUGCACAUGUGUGUGCAUGUAUGCAUGUGAGUAUAUGUAUCUAUCUAUAUAUGUAUAUAUAAAAUCAGUGUACACAUAUAGAAUCUCCUACUGGCCCUGUUUCUAUAGAAAACGCUGACUCUUACAAACAGCAAAGAAAAGAACUCUGCUUUAUACCUAAAUUAGCUUUGUACUUAAGUUAGCUCAUUGAGCAAUGUUAAAAUUGAAUUUUUUAAUGUUUCUUUAUUAUUUUUGAGAGAGAGACAGAGAGAGAGAGCAUUCAUGGGAGGGGCAGAGACAGAGGGAAACAGGAUUUGAAGUGGGCUCAUAUUGACUCAUUGAACAGGUUUGAUUUCUUCAAAGUGUUAGGAAAUAUAGAGACACAUAUUAAUUGUUAGCAUAAAAUAUUUUUGUAAGGGUCAUGGAAAAAUGAGUAUAAAGGUUAAUUUUACCUAAUUAAAGCUUUAGCAAUGUAUAAUCUUAUAUAUUUUCUUGGUCUGAUGAGCAGACACCUAGUUAGAUAUGGUAAUAUAUCCCAAAGAUAGGAUUUGGGUGCCUAAGUCAGGGCUUCAAUAAGUAUUUAAAUAUGAAUAUUAAUCAGUGAGAUUGGUGAUUUUCUCUUGACGACAAACAAUACAGUGAGUUAUUUCCUCUCUUCCCUUUGACUGUGUCUCUUCUCUCCUUAAAAGACACAAGUCACCUCUAAAUUUUUAGUAAAUAUGCUAUGAUUGAAGAAUCCAUGUGGUACCAAGGAACUUAUGUUUAUGUGUAGAAAUAUCUUAAUAUUACACAUAGUAAACCCCUUUUACACUGAUACAUUAUUCUCACAGCUAAUUUCAGGGCUCCACUGAAAAAAUUUUUUUAACGUUAAUUUAUUUUUGAGACUGAGAGAGACAGAGCA
Herpailurus yagouaroundi (jaguarundi) is the source of this 1959-nucleotide long non-coding RNA. RefSeq lists it as uncharacterized. The transcript is spliced from 3 exons. NCBI's taxonomy places the organism in Eukaryota, Metazoa, Chordata, Mammalia, Carnivora, Felidae. The record is from RefSeq and is a predicted model, not a curated record.